Molecule: ribosomal RNA, 496 nt
Filed under: uncultured bacterium
Lineage: Bacteria
Description: partial 16S ribosomal RNA
Rfam family: Bacterial small subunit ribosomal RNA
Source: RNAcentral
GAUGAACGCUAGCGGCAGGCCUAACACAUGCAAGUCGAGGGGUAGAGGUUGCUUGCAACCUUGAGACCGGCGCACGGGUGCGUAACGCGUAUGCAAUCUGCCUUGUACUGAGGGAUAGCCCAGAGAAAUUUGGAUUAAUACCUCAUAGUAUCUUUUCCCGGCAUCGGGAGAUUAUUAAAGUUCCAACGGUACAAGAUGAGCAUGCGUCCCAUUAGCUAGUUGGUAUGGUAACGGCAUACCAAGGCAAUGAUGGGUAGGGGUCCUGAGAGGGAGAUCCCCCAAACUGGUACUGAGACACGGACCAGACUCCUACGGGAGGCAGCAGUGAGGAAUAUUGGUCAAUGGGCGCAAGCCUGAACCAGCCAUGCCGCGUGCAGGAUGAAGCAUCUAUGGUGUGUAAACUGCUUUUAUACGGGAAGAAACACCGGUUCGUGAACCGGCUUGACGGUACCGUAAGAAUAAGGAUCGGCUAACUCCGUGCCAGCAGCCGCGGUAA